AGUAACUGCGAGUGAAGCGGCAAAAGCUCAAAUUUGAAAUCUGGCGUCUUCGGCGUCCGAGUUGUAAUUUGGAGGGAUAUCUUCGGAGUUGGCGCCGUCCUAAGUUCCUUGGAACAGGACGUCAUAGAGGGUGAGAAUCCCGUGCCUGGGCGGCUGUCCAGCUCCAUGUGAAGUGUCUCCGACGAGUCGAGUUGUUUGGGAAUGCAGCUCAAAAUGGGUGGUAAAUUUCAUCUAAAGCUAAAUAUUGGCGAGAGACCGAUAGCGCACAAGUAGAGUGAUCGAAAGAUGAAAAGCACUUUGAAAAGAGAGUUAAAAAGUACGUGAAAUUGUUGAAAGGGAAGCGCUUGCGACCAGACUCGAUCUUUGGUGAUCAGCUGGGCUUCGGCCUGGUGCCCUCGCCAUUGAUUGGGCCAGCAUCGGUUCUGACGGUGGGAUAAAAGGGGAAGGAAUGUGGCUUCUCUCGGGGAGUGUUAUAGCCUUCAUCAUAAUGCCGCCAGUUGGGACCGAGGACCGCGCUUCGGCUAGGAUGCUGGCGUAAUGGUCUUAAGCGACCCGUCUUGAAACACGGACCAAGGAGUCUAACAUCUAUGCGAGUGUUCGGGUGGAAAACCCUUGCGCGUAAUGAAAGUGAACGGAGGUGGGAACUCUUCGGAGUGCACCAUCGACCGGUCCUGAUGUCUUCGGAAGGAUCUGAGUAAGAGCAUAGCUGUUGGGACCCGAAAGAUGGUGAACUAUGCCUGAAUAGGGUGAAGCCAGAGGAAACUCUGGUGGAGGCUCGCAGCGGUUCUGACGUGCAAAUCGAUCGUCAAAUUUGGGUAUAGG
Molecule: ribosomal RNA, 822 nt
Filed under: Parawilcoxina inexpectata
Lineage: Eukaryota; Fungi; Ascomycota; Pezizomycetes; Pezizales; Pyronemataceae
Description: partial large subunit ribosomal RNA
Rfam family: Eukaryotic large subunit ribosomal RNA
Source: RNAcentral